Molecule: ribosomal RNA, 274 nt
Filed under: uncultured bacterium
Lineage: Bacteria
Description: partial 16S ribosomal RNA
Rfam family: Bacterial small subunit ribosomal RNA
Source: RNAcentral
AUACGGAGGGGGCUAGCGUUGUUCGGAAUUACUGGGCGUAAAGCGCGUGUAGGCGGAUCGUUAAGUCAGGGGUGAAAGCCCGGGGCUCAACCCCGGAACUGCCCUUGAUACUGGCGAUCUAGAGUCCGGAAGAGGUGGGCGGAAUUCCCGGUGUAGAGGUGAAAUUCGUAGAUAUCCGGAGGAACACCAGUGGCGAAGGCGGCUCACUGGUCCGGCACUGACGCUGAGACGCGAAAGCGUGGGGAGCAAACAGGAUUAGAAACCCUAGUAGUCC